AUACAUGCAAGUCGAGCGAACGGAUAAGGAGCUUGCUCCUUUGAAGUUAGCGGCGGACGGGUGAGUAACACGUGGGUAACCUACCUAUAAGACUGGGAUAACUUCGGGAAACCGGAGCUAAUACCGGAUAACAUUUAGAACCGCAUGGUUCUAAAGUGAAAGAUGGUUUUGCUAUCACUUAUAGAUGGACCCGCGCCGUAUUAGCUAGUUGGUAAGGUAACGGCUUACCAAGGCGACGAUACGUAGCCGACCUGAGAGGGUGAUCGGCCACACUGGAACUGAGACACGGUCCAGACUCCUACGGGAGGCAGCAGUAGGGAAUCUUCCGCAAUGGGCGAAAGCCUGACGGAGCAACGCCGCGUGAGUGAUGAAGGGUUUCGGCUCGUAAAACUCUGUUAUUAGGGAAGAACAAAUGUGUAAGUAACUGUGCACAUCUUGACGGUACCUAAUCAGAAAGCCACGGCUAACUACGUGCCAGCAGCCGCGGUAAUACGUAGGUGGCAAGCGUUAUCCGGAAUUAUUGGGCGUAAAGCGCGCGUAGGCGGUUUCUUAAGUCUGAUGUGAAAGCCCACGGCUCAACCGUGGAGGGUCAUUGGAAACUGGGAAACUUGAGUGCAGAAGAGGAAAGUGGAAUUCCAUGUGUAGCGGUGAAAUGCGCAGAGAUAUGGAGGAACACCAGUGGCGAAGGCGACUUUCUGGUCUGUAACUGACGCUGAUGUGCGAAAGCGUGGGGAUCAAACAGGAUUAGAUACCCUGGUAGUCCACGCCGUAAACGAUGAGUGCUAAGUGUUAGGGGGUUUCCGCCCCUUAGUGCUGCAGCUAACGCAUUAAGCACUCCGCCUGGGGAGUACGACCGCAAGGUUGAAACUCAAAGGAAUUGACGGGGACCCGCACAAGCGGUGGAGCAUGUGGUUUAAUUCGAAGCAACGCGAAGAACCUUACCAAAUCUUGACAUCCUUUGAAAACUCUAGAGAUAGAGCCUUCCCCUUCGGGGGACAAAGUGACAGGUGGUGCA
Molecule: ribosomal RNA, 1015 nt
Filed under: Staphylococcus xylosus
Lineage: Bacteria; Bacillati; Bacillota; Bacilli; Caryophanales; Staphylococcaceae
Description: bacterial SSU rRNA
Rfam family: Bacterial small subunit ribosomal RNA
Source: RNAcentral